GACGAACGCUGGCGGCGUGCUUAACACAUGCAAGUCGAACGGAAAGGCCCUGCUUUUGUGGGGUGCUCGAGUGGCGAACGGGUGAGUAACACGUGAGUAACCUGCCCUUGACUUUGGGAUAACUUCAGGAAACUGGGGCUAAUACCGGAUAGGAGCUCCUGCGGCAUGGUGGGGGUUGGAAAGUUUCGGCGGUUGGGGAUGGACUCGCGGCUUAUCAGCUUGUUGGUGGGGUAGUGGCUUACCAAGGCUUUGACGGGUAGCCGGCCUGAGAGGGUGACCGGCCACCUUGGGACUGCGAUACGGCCCAGACUCCUACGGUAGGCAGAAGUGGGGAAUAUUGCACAAUGGGCGGAAGCCUGAUGCAGCAGCGCCGCGUUCGGGAUGACGGCCUUCGGGUUGUAAACCGCUUUCGCCUGUGACGAAGCGUGAGUGACGGUAAUGGGUAAAGAAGCACCGGCUAACUACGUG
RNAcentral lists this ribosomal RNA (468 nucleotides) under uncultured bacterium. RNAcentral describes it as "partial 16S ribosomal RNA". It matches the Rfam family "Bacterial small subunit ribosomal RNA", at positions 28 to 507 of the family's 1533-position model. The record is from RNAcentral.